Molecule: ribosomal RNA, 492 nt
Filed under: uncultured bacterium
Lineage: Bacteria
Description: partial 16S ribosomal RNA
Rfam family: Bacterial small subunit ribosomal RNA
Source: RNAcentral
AGUGAACGCUGGCGGUAGGCCUAACACAUGCAAGUCGAACGGCAGCACAGUAAGAGCUUGCUCUUACGGGUGGCGAGUGGCGGACGAGUGAGGAAUACAUCGGAAUCUACUUUUUCGUGGGGGAUAACGUAGGGAAACUUACGCUAAUGCCGCAUACGACCUACGGGUGAAAGCAGGGGAUCUUCGGACCUUGCGCGAUUGAAUGAGCCGAUGUCGGAUUAGCUAGUUGGCGGGGUAAAGGCCCACCAAGGCGACGAUCCGUAGCUGGUCUGAGAGGAUGAUCAGCCACACUGGAACUGAGACACGGUCCAGACUCCUACGGGAGGCAGCAGUGGGGAAUAUUGGACAAUGGGCGCAAGCCUGAUCCAGCCAUACCGCGUGGGUGAAGAAGGCCUUCGGGUUGUAAAGCCCUUUUGUUGGGAAAGAAAAGCAGCAGGUUAAUACCCCGCUGUUCUGACGGUACCCAAAGAAUAAGCACCGGCUAACUUCGUG